GUUGGAAGAAACAGCAUUCAGAUUGUUGAUAUCUGGAGAUUAUAAGUAUUUGGGAAGAGCUUUGAUGAAAGCUUCUAGCCAAACACUAUGACAUAUGAGUUUGAGGUUUCCUCUGACUUCUUUCUGAAGUAUUUUUCAGACCCCAAAUUGCCAAGCAUUGUGCUAGUUCCAGGGGUGCAGUUUUGGGAGCUGUCGUGUGCCAGAGCAGACAAAGACCGCGGUGCCCAGCAUGUGGAAGGAGGGGCGUGUGGGUGCCUCAGCCCACCUGGGGUGUGCAGCAGGGAAAGCAUCAUGGGAAGAAGACAUGGAGCUGAGCACUGGGAGGGCGCAGGACAAAAAGAGAAGGUCAAGGACAAAGGCCUAUGAAAACGCUAAAGGAAGAGAAGAAUCAGUGAAGUCCCACAGGAAGGGCCAGAGGAGAAGGAAAUGAUCACCAGGGUCAAGGGCAGAAGGACUGGGCAGGAAAGAGGGGCCGCGAGGCCAGGGCCACGGUGACUGGCUGACUGCGUGGAGGAAGACAGCUGAAUACACUCUACACUCUCCCAGAAAAGAUGGUCCGGGUGUCUGUUCUCAGGCAGGAAUCAGGGAAGGUACUCAGGACCACAGACUCCUACCAGCACCCACCGGAGAACCCCGCCUGCGCUCUUAAGGCCAGAGAGCUGGAACCGCUGUUUCCAGAACUAUCAUUCAAAUGAAACGAUGAUAAUAAUGCUAACAGUAGCUAAAGUUACAUCAAUGACAAUCCUUACUGAUGAUGGUAACACCUUUGAGGACAAUGAAUGCUAAAUGCAGUUGCUUAAAAUAUUUGAAGAAUCUGGAUCUUGUGACUGGUUUUAGGAAUCUCUUCUGUAGCAUCCCUGAUCACAAGUCACCCAUUGCCCCCUUGCACCGCUCUGUAUGCAGGGAUCUCACUCCUUCCCAAGCAGAGCCAUCUGUGAUUGGAGGCACCUAUUUGCCGUCUUUACGUGAAGCUGAAAUGUGCUUCCUUGUGUCCAUACUUUGACCACUGACCUACUUUCUGUUCUCUGGUACACCCCGAAACACAUCCAAAAUCCUUUUUUCAUGGGGCAACACAUUAACUGUUAGUUGACAAUAAUUGUGAUUAUUGCUCUCUUGCUAUUAUUGAUGUAUUUCAUAUAUUUCUGAUAUAUAUAGAAAUCUAAUAGCAGCCUUUCUAACCAUUCUUAAAGAAAGACAGUCUUUGGUUCCCUCUUUUACCUGCACUCCCAUAGCUGGGAUUCCUCCACAGGACAUUUUUUUCUUGCGUAAUCCUUUCCCUAGUAAAGUCAGAGGGUCUUCUGAGGAGCUUGGCACUGACUCACAUGGCAUUAAUUCUAAUCCAUUUUAUUUUAUCUGGGAAAUGUGUAAUUUAGUGGAGACUCCACGCUUUGCAUGCCACAGUUGUACUUGGGGCUCACGGUGGCCCCCCAGUGCCUGGAACGUAUUGGCCGUGCAUCCUGACUUCCCUUAGAAAUAGAGCAGGAGCUCAGUAAACAUCUAUGAAACGGGGGGCCCAGCUGU
Molecule: non-coding RNA, 1521 nt
Organism: Manis javanica (Malayan pangolin)
Lineage: Eukaryota; Metazoa; Chordata; Mammalia; Pholidota; Manidae
Source: RefSeq, a predicted model, not a curated record